CGGGUUUGGGACUCCCUAGGGUCCUUUUUCAAGGUAAACAAAUCUUCAUUUAAUUGGCUUUUCGACCCUUGUUCUGAUCCCCUAGCCACCCUUGCAGAUUGGGCACCAGCUCCUUGCCAAUAUUGAGGCGACGAACCGGGCGAGGAGGGAUGCCAUCCAGGUGGAGGAGCAUCAUCGGGCCGGAAUCGCCCAUCUCGAAGAGAAGGCAGCCGAGGUAG
Molecule: long non-coding RNA, 218 nt
Filed under: Elaeis guineensis (African oil palm)
Lineage: Eukaryota; Viridiplantae; Streptophyta; Magnoliopsida; Arecales; Arecaceae
Description: long non-coding RNA (EGUI_LNC079072)
Source: RNAcentral